RNAcentral lists this ribosomal RNA (492 nucleotides) under uncultured bacterium. RNAcentral's name for it is "partial 16S ribosomal RNA". It matches the Rfam family "Bacterial small subunit ribosomal RNA", at positions 29 to 507 of the family's 1533-position model. The record is from RNAcentral.
AGUGAACGCUGGCGGUAGGCCUAACACAUGCAAGUCGAACGGCAGCACAGUAAGAGCUUGCUCUUACGGGUGGCGAGUGGCGGACGAGUGAGGAAUACAUCGGAAUCUACUUUUUCGUGGGGGAUAACGUAGGGAAACUUACGCUAAUACCGCAUACGACCUACGGGUGAAAGCAGGGGAUCUUCGGACCUUGCGCGAUUGAAUGAGCCGAUGUCGGAUUAGCUAGCUGGCGGGGUAAAGGCCCACCAAGGCGACGAUCCGUAGCUGGUCUGAGAGGAUGAUCAGCCACACUGGAACUGAGACACGGUCCAGACUCCUACGGGAGGCAGCAGUGGGGAAUAUUGGACAAUGGUCGCAAGCCUGAUCCAGCCAUACCGCGUGGAUGAAGAAGGCCUUCGGGUUGUAAAGCCCUUUUGUUGGGAAAGAAAAGCAGCAGGUUAAUACCCCGCUGUUCUGACGGUACCCAAAGAAUAAGCACCGGCUAACUUCGUG